GCUUGGUGAUGAGCCAUUAUACUAUAUUGUAUCCCCAAAGGAUGUAGUUAUUGCAAAACCUAGGGAUGCAGAAGAUCAUAUUUCUUGGCUUCUUCAACAUGGAUGGCAUGAAAAAGCUUUAGCAGCAGUUGAAGCUGGGCAGGGACGAAGUGAGCUUCUUGAUGAGAAUAAAUGCAAAGCGGUAGAGCAACAGAAAAGACUGAUGUUUAUAGUUUUGGGGUUCUGGUUCUUGAAGUAGUGAGUGGAAAGUGACCCACUGAUGCAGCCAUUAUUGAGAAGGGCUUCAACAUUGUUGGCUGGUGGUGGCUUUGAUGGCUAUAAAAAAUGCUCUCAAUGACCGAUACAAUGUUUUGGAGAACUGGGAUAUUAAUUCAGUAGAUCCUUGUUAUUGGAGGAUGUUUACUUGCUCUGCCGAUG
Molecule: non-coding RNA, 417 nt
Organism: Camellia sinensis
Lineage: Eukaryota; Viridiplantae; Streptophyta; Magnoliopsida; Ericales; Theaceae
Source: RefSeq, a predicted model, not a curated record